GGCAUAGAUCUUUUGCAGCGCUUAUUGCGCGGCGAAAACCUUACACACUAUGUUUUUUUAAUUUGAAACUAUUGCUUUGGUCUGGCUUAGAAAUAGGUUGGGCCAAAGGUUUUAUCAAAACUUCAAUAUUUAUUAUUGAAUUGUUAUUUUUAAUUUUAUGUCAAUUUGUUGAUUAAUAUCAAAAAUCUUCAAAACUUUCAACAACGGAUCUCUUGGUUCUCGCAUCGAUGAAGAACGCAGCGAAAUGCGAUAAGUAAUAUGAAUUGCAGAUUUUCGUGAAUCAUCGAAUCUUUGAACGCACAUUGCGCCCUUUGGUAUUCCAAAGGGCAUGCCUGUUUGAGCGUCAUUUCUCUCUCAAAUCUUCGGAUUUGGUUUUGAGUGAUACUCUUAGUCAGACUAAGCGUUUGCUUGAAAUGUAUUGGCAUGAGUGGUACUAGAUAGUGCUGAACUGUUUUCAAUGUAUUAGGUUUAUCCAACUCAUUGACCAGUAAAGUAUUUGUUUAUUACACAGGCUCGGCCUUACAACAACAAACAAAGUUUGACCUCAAAUCAGGUAGGACUACCCGCUGAACUUAAGCAUAUCAAAGGGGGG
This 592-nucleotide ribosomal RNA is filed under the name Dujonia railenensis. Its description in RNAcentral is "eukaryotic LSU rRNA". The stretch from base 193 to 346 matches the Rfam family "5.8S ribosomal RNA". Lineage: Eukaryota; Fungi; Ascomycota; Pichiomycetes; Serinales; Debaryomycetaceae. The record is from RNAcentral.